CAGCAGCCGCGGGAAUACGAGGGGGGCAAGCGUUGUUCGGAAUUAUUGGGCGUAAAGGGUGCGUAGGCGGUUUGACAAGUCUUAUGUGAAAUCUCUGGGCUCAACCCAGAGUCUGCAUGGGAAACUGUCGGGCUUGAGUAUGGGAGAGGUGAGUGGAAUUUCCGGUGUAGCGGUGAAAUGCGUAGAUAUCGGAAGGAACACCUGUGGCGAAAGCGGCUCACUGGACCAUAACUGACGCUGAUGCACGAAAGCUAGGGGAGCAAACAGGAUUAGAUACCCGAGUAGUCCCUGUCUCUUAUAC
RNAcentral lists this ribosomal RNA (301 nucleotides) under uncultured bacterium. RNAcentral's name for it is "partial 16S ribosomal RNA". It matches the Rfam family "Bacterial small subunit ribosomal RNA", at positions 509 to 807 of the family's 1533-position model. The record is from RNAcentral.